CAAGUCCCUGACCACCUCCUCUCCUCGGAGGGGGGGCCGGGGCAACAGAACCCACGGCGCCGACGGCGUCAAGGAACACUAUGCCUAACCCGAGGGUGUGGCUGGCUUGCUAGCCACCCCUCGUGUUGCGAUGCUAUCUAAACCACACGACUCUCGGCAACGGAUAUCUCGGCUCUCGCAUCGAUGAAGAACGUAGCGAAAUGCGAUACCUGGUGUGAAUUGCAGAAUCCCGCGAACCAUCGAGUCUUUGAACGCAAGUUGCGCCCGAGGCCACCCGGCUGAGGGCACGCCUGCCUGGGCGUCACGCCAAUACACGCUCCCACCUCCCUCAAUGGGUAGUGGGAUGCGGAUUCUGGCCCUCCGUGCUGUGAGGCGCGGCAGGCCGAAGAUCGGGCUGCCGGCGUAUCGUGCCGGACACAGCGCGUGGUGGACUUCUACUUAGCGCAGUUCCAGCACGUAGCCGGCGUAGCGGCCCCAAGGACCCAACGAACGGAGCGCAUGUCGCUCUGACCGCGACCCCAGGUCAGGCGGGACUACCCGCUGAGUUUAAGCAUAUAAAUAAGCGGAGGAGAAGAAACUUACAAGGAUUCCCCUAGUAACGGCGAGCGAACCG
RNAcentral lists this ribosomal RNA (613 nucleotides) under Nassella sanluisensis. RNAcentral describes it as "eukaryotic LSU rRNA". The stretch from base 149 to 304 matches the Rfam family "5.8S ribosomal RNA". The record is from RNAcentral. Lineage: Eukaryota; Viridiplantae; Streptophyta; Magnoliopsida; Poales; Poaceae.